UUAAGUACUGGUCUUCAUUUAAAAAUGCUGUCCUGAGAAAUACUUUAUUCUCCAACUGAUAAUUUCUCAUAGAAAGCUUCUGCUGCAAUAAAUCUGCAGUUUAAAAGGGAAAAGAACAGCAACUCCUUAUUUCAAUUUUUUUUUUUUUUAAGGUUUCCAGCCUGCUGUAUUUUAGAGGAUGUGCUACUGUGAAGGCUUAGAUAAAAUGGAAGUAAAGAUCCUGCUAUUACUUCUCAAUGGAGAUCCUAAAGCCUUUAGCACUUGAGAGCUGAAUCAAAGGCCAACUGAUGUGAGAGUUUAAGGCUUUUGCUGCUGUGGGAUGUGAUGCUUCUGAGGCACCUCACUGUAUGUAAGAAAGCCACAGGUUCUGUCUUCACUGAUACAUCAUGAUCUUUCUCUUGUGAUGGGAUUUAGUGGAGUGUGGUGCUAGAUGUGUGAAUGUAAUUUAAUGGCAGCAAUGAAAAUCAAAUCAGACACAUCCAUGAGACCAUUUACUGCUUUCAGCUCAAAUGGGAAGGACAGCAGGAAGAGAAGGAUAUGCCCUUCUAGCUUGACACUUGUCAGGAAAGUCCUCAAACCUCAUGAAUACAGGGAAAAAGGUAUAAAAUGUUUACAUAUGGCAAGAAGAGUCAAGGAUCGUUGGGAACUGUGCCUUGUGUGAAAGUCACAGCGUCAUCAUUCUUUAUGGGUUACAGCCAUAUUCAGUUACUUUGCUUUUCAGAACAAUUGUUGAAAUCUUUUGAUGUCUGCCAUAUAACAAUUUUGUUCUUAUUUCUUUGUCUUUAGUUUCCUAACCACAUAUUGUAAAUUUGUGAAACAAA
This is a long non-coding RNA of Pezoporus occidentalis (night parrot), 821 nucleotides long. RefSeq lists it as uncharacterized. The transcript has 4 exons. Lineage: Eukaryota; Metazoa; Chordata; Aves; Psittaciformes; Psittacidae. The record is from RefSeq and is a predicted model, not a curated record.